Molecule: long non-coding RNA, 309 nt
Filed under: Phoenix dactylifera (date palm)
Lineage: Eukaryota; Viridiplantae; Streptophyta; Magnoliopsida; Arecales; Arecaceae
Description: long non-coding RNA (PDAC_LNC014548)
Source: RNAcentral
UAAGUACUAGUAAGUACUUUUUUAGGAUUUUUAUUCUUUGUUUUAUUUUACUUUGAGCAUCGUACAAGUCAGAUUUUGUGCUGGCAUAUUCAGAUGGGCUCUUCCUAGCUGUAUUAUCUGCCAGAGGACACCUCUCAAAGCCAGAACUUUAGUGAAAGAUUUGAGACCGGUUAUAACAUGGAGUGCGUUGCUUUGGCAUGAGCAUCGACGACUAUAAUGCCGCUUGGUUAAGAGGUGGGCUGAUGUCCCUUCUGAUUAUACUAAUGAUCCGGAUAUCUACGAGAGAUAUCGCCACUCAACGAGAUUCUA